AUCAAAUGAUGAUUGAUGGUCCCUCUAAUCUAGAACCUAUCCAUGAAGACUAUGUCCACAUACCCACUACUGAUUUU
RNAcentral lists this small nucleolar RNA (77 nucleotides) under Bombyx mori (domestic silkworm). RNAcentral's name for it is "Bm_3". Lineage: Eukaryota; Metazoa; Arthropoda; Insecta; Lepidoptera; Bombycidae. The record is from RNAcentral.